UACUGCCAACGAAUGUUUUAUUUCUUAAAUUUUAAUAACCAGUGCGCUCAAAAAGACACAAGUUAAAGGUGGUGAUUUUCGUAAAUUGCUAAUUUGAAAAUGGGAAAUGUAUUUAAAAAGUUCAGAUUUUUACUUUUCACCGAUGAGGCCACCCGAUUGUGAAAACAGAGGAUCUUAUUUACUGAACAACCCGGACAAUUCGAAGCGUACCGAUUACCGUGUAUUAUACCGAUUACCACUCAACUGUCCAACAAAUACGCCUGCGUGAUUGCCGAUUUCGUCAUUCAAUUUUCAAUUUUGGCCUCAUUCUUUUGGCUUAACGUCAUGUGCGCGGACAUUGCUUGGACAUUCAGAUAAUAUGUCGAAAGGCUUGUUCUUCUUUGCUCCUAUUGGAAGUCUCAUGUUGACCUAUCUCAUAUUGUUCAUGUUCGCCGCGUUAAGAAUAGUUUUUAUUCGCAAGGACACGUCAAAAAUGUUAAAUCGACAAACCAACCAAAACAAUACUAGUUUACCUAGUAUUGUUUUGGUUGGUUUGUCGAUUCAACACUUUUGAUGUGACCCUGCGGAUGAAAACUAUUCUCAACGCAGUGAACAUGAACAAUAUGAAAUUGGUCAACAGGAGAAUUCCAAUAGGAGCAUAGAAGAACAAGCCGACCGACAGUUUAUCUGAAACCACAAGUGACUGAUUGUUAUUUAACAUAAUUUGUAUUUUUGUCCAUGUGUGUGCAAACAAUAAUUGGAAUCGUGACGGAUAUGAAUAAAUUGAAUAUAUAAUAAAAAACAUAACUUGUGUUUGAAGUGACUGAUUUAGAUAGAAAUCGAAAAAGAGUAUACGGUAAAUAUUUGGAUAGCUGCAAUGAAUGAUAUAAAGUAGUUAUAAGUGUCCAUAAAAUUUUAACUGGCGUUUGGUAGGUAUAGUUGUGCAUUGUACGGUUUGUGAAUUGUUUUGAAAAAGUGUAGUAUUUCAAUAGAUAAUAAAAUAAAAUUCAAUGUACCGUCACACAGUGUUUCUAAAGAUGAGUUAUUGUACUUACUGGCGAACCAACAGUCUCUUUGACCGAAAUUCGGUUUGUACUCUGGGCUGACAAGGAAGUCGGUAAACUCGGCCACAGCGGUCAAGACUGAUAUGAUAAUGCUACUACCCCAAGCGUACACAGAAUAAAUCAUGUACUUCUUUUUCUCGUUCUCGAUCUUGUUGGAGUAAGACAACAGUCUGAACCCGCUAGAAAACCGAACACAUAUUAUAGGUAAAUUUUAUAUUAUAAACAGUGAUUGAAAACGUUACCGAGCGAAAAUGUACACACACUGUUUGUUAUAGCGAAAACAAACCAGCUUAACUGGGUUUGAACUUGUACAAAUAAAAGCUAUAUACAUAAGAUACUAGCUUGCGUGCAAUACUGAAGUAAACAAAAGGGCUAAAACCGUUAUGUCCGCACAAAAGAAUAAAAAAAGUCUUCGAUGUUAAGCGGUUAUAGCACUGUAAAUCAUAAAAUAGGUUUUUAACCCUUAUCAUAAAAUAUUGUUGUUUUUAUCAAGAUAUUGUUAUCACCGAUAUCUUAUCAACACAGAUUAAAUAAAACAAUACAAAUUCAAAUAACGGUUUUUCAUUGGUUUAAACUUAUUGCAAAAUGACCAAAUUAUGGUGCCGAAAAUAUUGUACACACUGCUUACAAUAAUAAAGUAAACUGAUAAAAAAUACUGAUAACAAGUGAUAACGAAGGUUGUAGGUGAUAACAUUGCAGAUGUUUGAUACCGUUUCUUUGACCAAACUGUGGAAGAGAAGGAUUAUAUGUUUCAUUUUUUGUUCACACUGAACUGAGGUUAUUAAAUUUUGUUUUCAAUAUUUUAAUUUGUUUUAGAGUGCACUAUCUAGUUGUUUUUAGCCUGUAAUAUAUAUUGAAUGGUAUUUAUUUCUUCUAACUUGGCAGACUGGCUUCCCCUAAGGUAAGUUAUCUUUAAAAUGUUUUGAUUGCGUUUUGUUUUUACAAGUCCAAACCCAGUUUGAACACCGUACCUACUAUCAAUAAUUUAUAUCAACAAUUUUUGUGGUUAUUAAAAAAUAAUGUAAAUAUUAGCUUUGUAACGUUGUCAAUCAAUGGAUAUGAAUAUACUUGAUACGACGAUGAUAAUAAUAACAAUAAAAUAACAAACCUGAAUGUCCAAGCAAUGUCCGCGCACAUGACGUUAAGCCAAAAGAAUGCGGCCAAAAAUGAAAAUUGAAUGACGAAAGCUAAAAAAGACAAAAGCAAUUUAAUAUUUUUUUAUGAGCCAGUUAACAUUAUUUAAUUAUUUUUUUCCUGGUUAACGUACAAUAGAGAUGCGCUCUACCAAAACACUAAUUUAGUAGCUAUAAGAAAAGUCAAACAUGUUAUUUUGAGAUUUCCAGUCGUUCUUUCGAGCCAAAUUAUUUCAAAAAAAGUCUAUGGUUAAUAUAUCAAUUUAGUGUGCUGACACCUUGUGCUUUGUUGGCAGAUUUAUAUGAUUAUAAUUUUUAUCACAGUGUUCUAUUAAUUGUUGUUGAUUAUGAUUUAUUUGUUUCUGUUUAAAACGCAUUCUGUCAAAAAGAUUAAACCGUAAUAACAAUAUAUUAUUAUUAUUAUUAUUAAUAUACAUUUUUGAAACAAAUGUCACCUAAAUUUGGCACGAAAAGCCAAAACGAACUCGAGGUUAUCCGUCGUGGUUUUAAUUAUAAACUUCAUAGAAAACAAAGUAAUUAGAGACGUCAAACAGCUUCCAAGUCUAAAUAGUCGUUAAUCGUUUUGGACGACCAGAGCCAACACUAACAUAGCGACCACGUGGAGUGAUUUAAGAUGCCAAAAUUGGAUACAACGCUGUUAAGCUAUAACUUAAUUUCGAAAACUUAGAGUUCGAACGUUAUUGAAAAUAUGUAUUGUAGAUAGGCUUCGAAGAAUAUUCUUUAUGUUAGAACUCGAUAUUAGCGUAGUGGCAUAUUUGAAGUACCUAAGCUUUGUGAUCUCGAUAUGAUUGUUUUUCAAAUGAUAUCCAAAGCCGAUUAUAAUAUAUAUUUUGCAUAUAUCACCCAGUGAACGGCGUUCAAGGCGUUGUCCUUCGUCGAGAUACCCAACCGGUUUGCACCGAGAGAUAGAAAUAAGAUUGAGAAAUUCGUGGAGUUGUGCCAUUUAAUUGCACUACUGCAUUGUAAAUAAUGUCAAAGUAUUAAUUACAGGAGCAGAUUGUCUAUGAUACAGUGUUUUGCAGCGAUGGCAAACCUAACCGUUGGCCCCCACGACACUGCCAUAAGACCAAACUCAAUAAAACAUAUUGUAAAACAAACUAUUUUAAAUGAUAUAAUAAAAUAUAUAAAAAAAAUAAAAAAAUGCCAAACUCACGUUUUACAAUAAUUGACCGUCAUUUGAAACACUAAGGCCUCUUUUUUAUACUAUCACUAUUAUUAUAUAUUUAAAACGGCCUAUUGUUUUUGUGUUGCUUCUUUUUGCCGUCCAAGGACAACCCGUAAUGAACGGCUAAAUUAUUACAAAUAGUUAAUUUUAUACAACUGCUAUCGACCGACGGUUAUUGGCGUCUCGAACCAAUGCACAUAGGUAUAAUAACACCUAUUGAUUGUUAAUAAUAGUAUUUCAAUAUCUGAUCAACUGCGGCGAUUUCACGUGAAGCAAACUCGCUCAUACCACAACAUGUAAUCAUAUGUAAUGACUAAUAGUAUACUAUAUAGAACGUUUAAUUUUAAUUGUAAAUGUAAAGUAUUAUUCCCAUUGUUGUAUAUUUAUUCUUUCUUUACAUAGGUAAUCAUUUAUAGAAAUCAGGUACGGGGUGUCCCACGAGUCGUAGUAAUAUUUCCUAGAGAUAUUUAGAUUUAUAAAUUCUGAUUUUUUUCCCCCAAUUCCAUUAGUUUAUGCAAAUCACAUUUAAAACACGAUUAUCUUUUAUAUUUGAAAAUUACAACUUUUAAUUGAAAAGGAAAUCAAGAUAUUUCGACUGGUCUACAACAAUAAUAAUAUUAUGCAGAAUAUUUUACCCCGCUGACACUUUUAUGUAAAUUACUUUAGUAAGUUAAAUGUAAACACUAAGCUUCAUAAACCCGAAGAAAAAAAAAAAUCAUCCAUUAAAAAGUUUUGAUGGCUCUUUCUGAAUUUAAAACGUACAACUAAGAAGUAUUACAAGCUCUAAAUAAGUUUAUUCGUGUUUCGAUUAAUAAACACUGAUGGCUUUUCCGUAUGGUACCAAAUUGAAUUUAAAUCAAUACACUGAACGGUCGACAUCUUUAUUAUAAUAUUAUUCAUCAGAGUAUCUUUAAAGUAAGUAAAUACAGUGCGCUUUUCGAGAAUUCUUUAUCCGUUUAUAAUUAGCAUGCAUGAUGAAGGAUUUUUCUAGAUGGUUUGAUGCUAUUAGUUAUUAGAAAAAGUAUUCACACUCUAUACACAUACAUCAAUACACGGAUGUAUCCUGAUAAUUUUGUGAUUAUUUCCGAUAAAAUAUAAUCUUCUUGCGAUAAAUGAUAAUAGUAUAGUCUUAAUUAUAUGUUCUGGCCAAACGUUUUUAUAGGUUUUAUAAUAUCUGGCCUUAAUCGACUUACUGGCAAAACAUUUAUCAAUAUUUCUCAUAAAUCAAUUUCCGUGGUUCGCCAGUAUGUAAGUGCCUACCUAGCAAAUUCAUUUGGCUAUCCUUACAUAUGUCGUUAUAUCCUGAAACUUGAUGUAUCUGCACGAAGUGUGAAUGCUCUUAACUAUGUUUUCAGAAUGACCCUCCAUAAUCCUAAUCAUAAUCUAUUUAUAUUUAAUCGAAUCUUAUAUAUACAGAGUGAUCCACUUAUCGUGAACCACUCAAUAUCUCAUAGGAUUUAAUAAGAAAUACAA
This is a long non-coding RNA of Adelges cooleyi (spruce gall adelgid), 4835 nucleotides long. RefSeq lists it as uncharacterized. The transcript has 5 exons. Lineage: Eukaryota; Metazoa; Arthropoda; Insecta; Hemiptera; Adelgidae. The record is from RefSeq and is a predicted model, not a curated record.